Molecule: long non-coding RNA, 799 nt
Organism: Oncorhynchus keta (chum salmon)
Lineage: Eukaryota; Metazoa; Chordata; Actinopteri; Salmoniformes; Salmonidae
Exons: 3
Source: RefSeq, a predicted model, not a curated record
GGUCUGGUAGGUAUAGCUCUUUUUGUAAUCUGAUAUUUGAACCCAGGUCUGGUAGGUACAGCUCUUUUUGUAGUCUGAUAUUUGAACCCAGGUCUGGUAGGUAUAGCUCUUUUUGUAGUCUGAUAUUUGAACCCAGGUCUGGUAGGUAUAGCUCUUUUUGUAAUCUGAUAUUUGAACCCAGGUCUGGUAGGUACAGCUCUUUUUGUAGUCUGAUAUUUGAACCCAGGUCUGGUAGGUAUAGCUCUUUUUGUAGUCUGAUAUUUGAACUCAGGUCUGGUAGGUAUAGCUCUUUUUGUAGUCUGAUAUUUGAAGCCAGGUCUGGUAGGUAUAGCUCUUUUUGUAGUCUGAUAUUUGAACCCAGGUCUGGUAGGUAUAGCUCUUUCUGAAGACUGAUAUUUGAACCCAGGUCUGGUAGGUAUAGCUCUUUUUGAAGACUGAUAUUUGAACCCAGGUCUGGUAGGUAUAGCUCUUUCUGAAGACUGAUAUUUGAACCCAGGUCUGGUAGGUACAGACUAAGUCACACAUCAUUUACAGCUGUACAGUAAAGCGGCGUGUUGAGCAUCCCACCAUUUCCAUGGACAGUUGAGUCAGAUUGAAGAGCAGCACAUGGCAGCACACCUCGCUGCGUUUAUUGACAGUGAUCAGAGGAGGACAUCAGGGAAAGUUCUAGAAGUAAAGCUAUUGGAUAUAAAAUCUGUUUUACAUUAUCAUGACUCCACUUUAAGUUGAUUACACUGGUUUUUACUUCCUUCAACAAAUCACUCAACAUGAACAUGUUAUUUCUACUAGAACAAAGGUC